ACAUUUAGGCUUGACCUUGUACUCUCUGCACUAGGACAUGGAGACCUGGGUAGAGACCUGGCCUGGCCUCUGUCCUGGAAAACUCCGUGCCUGCGUCUGAACGUCAGCACUCAGAUGUCUAGGGUCUGGGGCUGAGGUGGGCUUCUCUGGGGAACCGUGCUCUUCUCUGAGUAGGAUUCCAUGGCUCUCCCGGGAGAGGGGGAGGUCAGUGCUGCGGUAGGGUUUGUAGUCUGUCUCUGUGACAGGUUCAUCUUCCCUGGGGUCCUUGAGACUCCUCAGGUGGGCUGCUAAGUCACUUUAGUCGUGUCCGACUCUGUGCGACCCCAUAGACGGCAGCCUAACAGGCUCCCCCGUCCCUGGGAUUCUCCAGGCAAGAACACUGGAGUGGGUUGCCAUUUCCUUCUCCAAUGCAUGAAAGUGAAAAGUGAAAGUGAUAUUGCUCAGUCGUGACCCCAUAGACUGCAGCCCACCAGGCUCCUCUACCCAUGGGAUUUUCCAGGCAAGAGUACUAGAGUGGGGUGCCAUUGCCUUCUCCGCCUCAGGUGGGCUAACUAGUAUUUAUUCCAAUUUUUCAGCACAUUCAGGUUUAAUAGAAAGGCAGGUUCACCUGGUGAAUUGGUUCCAGGGUGCAGGGAUCAGGCAAAAAGUCAACGGGCAGCAGGUGAGGUUGCUGCUGGGCUCUCCUUCCAGUCGACUCUCUCCUCCAAAGAGGAUGGAGUUGCCCCUCGUUUCUCAGCCCAGCUCUCCUGUUUUCUCAGCACCUCAGCGGGACAAAAAAGACAGAGCCUGCCAGAACCAAGUGGACCGUCCCUACUCAGCAGAGACCAGACCUGCCCGUCGUCUCCCAGCCCUGCGUCUGGUGUGUUUUCUCAACACCUCAGUGGAACAAGAAAGGACCAAGCCUGCCAGAACCAAGACUCAUCCCAACCUGGGGCACUGCUCCCUGCUGAAACACCUAGGAGGCUGCACUCUCAGAAAAGAGGCUUCAGCUAGAGACCCCAGCACCAGCAGACCUGGAGGCCAGGUGACUUUUCAAAAGUUCUCGUGGUCAGAGGCUCAGGCUACCAUUUUCGAUGCACUAGGGUCUAUAGUCCAAGCUAGGGAAAACCAGAUAGUACAGGUUUAAGAAGGGGCUCAAAAUUAAGGAUACCUGGCCCUACUGUGUCAGCCCCUCUCCAGUCCAGUCAUGGGACCCAAGUCUGCUCAGGGUCCAGGUAUGGCAAACAGCACAUGUCGGGGAGAUCAGAGGGAAUAAAAGAAGCAUCACUCUUUUCUGUUCUUUAACCUCAUGCUGAUACAAUGUAGCCCUAUAUUUGAUUUGCAGUUUUGUCCUUAUUGUCAGUAUGCAGGCUCCUUAUUCUGUUAUGCCAUAUACAUACCGCAUAUCUGUUCUUUUUUCAAAUAUUUGCCAGAGAGGUUAUUAAACAAGGUCCAAUAAGCUCCCUGUGCUGAACAUUAUGUCCUUCUGAAGAAUUUAUUCUGACUCUAUGGGACCCCAAGGGCUAAAGCCCACUGGAAUCCUCUUUCCAUGAAGUCUCCAGGCAAGAACAGGCCUCUACGUAGACCCUCAGCUCAUGUGUGACUAUGAGGCAUUGAGGCAGACUUUCAGCUCCUUGUGUCUAUGACACCUCCAGGCAGACACUCAAGUUUGUGUCUCUCUAGAGGCCUCUAAGCAGAUGCUCAGCUCGUGUUUGACUAUAGGGCUUGUAUGAAGACUCUCAGUUAGGGUGUAUCUAGAGGGCUCAAGGCUGAGGCUCCUCUUGUGUGUGUCUAUGAGGUGGAUGCUCAGUUCCUGUCUCUCUAGAGGCCUCAAGGCUGACGCUCAGCUCGUGUGAGACCAUGGGCAUCUAGGAAGACUCUCAGCUCUUAUCUACAUCUUGUCCUAUGGCUCUUUGGAUUCUUUUUAUCUCUUUUCUUUUUAUUAAAGGUUGCGAGGAAAAUUGACCUCUUAAAUUGGCUUUUUGAAAGUCAGUUGUGUUUGGAAUUCCUUUCUGCAAUACCUGUGACAGGACCUUUUUCUGAUAGCAGCUGUCAUUAUCUGCCCCACAGGCCUUUUGAAUUGGAGGUGCCAGUAAGUGCCGAUACACAAGUUGUAGUUUCAGAAAAUGGCCACAAGGCGGCAGCACCUCUUCAUGCCCAACUCUGGUUCCACCUGCAACCAGAGCCUUAGGGAAAGCAGGUUUCCUGGGUUGUGAAUUAGGGUGGAAUGUGCCUGAGCAAACACCCAAGGGCUUUUAUCUCAGGACUCCUUCCCCGGUGAAGCUUUAC
This is a long non-coding RNA of Capra hircus (goat), 2268 nucleotides long. The record is from Ensembl. NCBI's taxonomy places the organism in Eukaryota, Metazoa, Chordata, Mammalia, Artiodactyla, Bovidae.